Molecule: long non-coding RNA, 1060 nt
Organism: Astatotilapia calliptera (eastern happy)
Lineage: Eukaryota; Metazoa; Chordata; Actinopteri; Cichliformes; Cichlidae
Source: Ensembl
GCUGAGUUUUAGCUCUCAGUGGUUAAACGCUGGACUUCAUUCACUCAGGUUCUGUCUGUCGGGUCACGUUUACUUCGCUGUUUUAUUUACAACUGAGCAAAUCGGUUUGGCUGAGGUUAAAGUUACGUUUCAUAACUGCAUAGUUUCACAGACGUUUAAUGGUUCACUGGCACAUGUGUUAGACUGAACUAUCAUCUAAAUAUCAUCUGUUUUUUAAUAGUUAUUCAACUGUAUUCUAAGCACCAGCUGUCUGUUAGAAUGUGAUUUUUUUUCUCUCUCUGUUGGCAGAGGUAUAAAAAUGCGCAGGAAAAUCUGACGUGCAUGGCGAACUUCACCGACGAUAUUUAGGGAGGAAUAAACACACAUCAAACAUAAAUGAACCAUUUAAUUUUCUCUUCUUAUAUCAACACUCUCUCUCUCUCUCUCUUUUUUUUUUUUGCUUUUUCGGUCAUGUUAUGUUUACCUGUCAAAGGCUUGUUACAAACUAUGAAACACAUUGUGCAGACUUCUGGAUGUUAGAAGAAAACGAAUACUGCUCAUGAAUGAGACUAAAGGCAGGAAGGUGUCCUUUAAAACUAAACAUGUUAAUAGGACCUCCCUGUUUAUAUCAUAGUUUAUGAUAUAGCACGUGUAUUUCAGUAAUAGCCUGCUGAGGCCACUAUACGUGCUGGCCUCAUAUCAAAUGUGAAGGCAGACUGAGUCUAUGUUUGACGUUUGUUUAUAUCUAAUCUUCCUUUUCAAACAUUUAAACAGCAGCGAGUCUGCAGCUGAGGGAAUACAAAUUCAAAUUGUCGGAACAGGUUUGCUCGUUUCUUGGAUUCAUUUGGUGAUUUAUUAAAUGUAUAACUGUAAUUCUAAUCUGCUGCUGAGUCUCUUACACUUUUCUUUAUGCUGUAUAUUUUCACGUCUCUGGAAUAGUUGGCAGUUAGAUAGUCAGCUGGGAAACUCAUGGAGCUGAGGAUAUCGUGGAUAUGCUGACCUCGCUGCGUGGUGUACAGAGCGAGGUCAGCAUGAUUAAUAUUCACAAUAAAAAUAUUAGCCGAACAUCAUGAAGUCUGUA